GACAGAGGGUGCAAACGUUGUCCGGAAUCAUUGGGCGUAAAGCGCGCGUAGGUGGCCUCGUAAGUCCGCUGUGAAAGUCAAAGGCUCAACCUUUGAAAGCCGGUGGAUACUGUGAGGCUAGAGUACGGAAGAGGCGAGUGGAAUUCCUGGUGUAGCGGUGGAAUGCGCAGAUAUCAGGAGGAACACCAAUAGCGAAGGCAGCUCGCUGGGACGUUACUGACACUGAGGCGCGAAAGCGUGGGGAGCGAACAGG
RNAcentral lists this ribosomal RNA (253 nucleotides) under uncultured bacterium. Its description in RNAcentral is "partial 16S ribosomal RNA". It matches the Rfam family "Bacterial small subunit ribosomal RNA", at positions 524 to 776 of the family's 1533-position model. The record is from RNAcentral.